RNAcentral lists this ribosomal RNA (664 nucleotides) under uncultured fungus. RNAcentral's name for it is "eukaryotic LSU rRNA". It matches the Rfam family "Eukaryotic large subunit ribosomal RNA", at positions 24 to 664 of the family's 3401-position model. Lineage: Eukaryota; Fungi. The record is from RNAcentral.
CCCGCUGAACUUAAGCAUAUCAAUAAGCGGAGGAAAAGAAACCAACAGGGAUUGCCUUAGUAACGGCGAGUGAAGCGGCAAAAGCUCAAAUUUGAAAUCUGGCAGUAAUGUCCGAAUUGUAAUUUGAAGAAGGUAACUUUGGUGAUAGCUCUUGCAUAUGUUCCUUGGAACAGGACGUCAUAGAGGGUGAGAAUCCCGUAUAUGGUGAGAUGACAUAUUACUAUGUAAAGUGCCUUCGAAGAGUCGAGUUGUUUGGGAAUGCAGCUCUAAGUGGGUGGUAAAUUCCAUCUAAAGCUAAAUAUUGGCGAGAGACCGAUAGCGAACAAGUACAGUGAUGGAAAGAUGAAAAGAACUUUGAAAAGAGAGUGAAAAAGUACGUGAAAUUGUUGAAAGGGAAACGCUUGAUGUCAGUCGCGUCGGCCGGGGAUCAGCCUUGCUUAACCGCUCGGCGUACUUCCUGGCAGACGGGUCAGCAUCAGUUUCGACCGUCGGAGAAUGGCUCGGGGAAUGUGGCACUCUUUCGGGAGUGUGUUAUAGACUCGAGUCGAAUGCGACGGUCGGGACUGAGGAACUCAGCACGACCUUAGGGUUCGGGACUUCGGUCCACGUUUGCGUGCUUAGGAUGCUGGCAUAAUGGCCUUAAGCGACCCGUCUUGAAACACGG